UAUGAGAGAGAGAUGGGAUGGUUGAAGGCAGUCAACUCCACACCCAACCUGAUUCACGGUGUAGCCCGAGACACUAAGGUACGCAUCGGUGAUUGGAGAGGUACCUUAGAUUUCUUUGUUGUCUCUAUGGAUGAUUCUCCAUGCAUACUUGGGGUCGAGUUCGUGGACCGAGCUAAGGCGAUCCCAAUGCUAUUCGCCAAUAGCAUGUGUAUCACGGAGGGAGGU
RNAcentral lists this unclassified non-coding RNA (225 nucleotides) under Hevea brasiliensis (rubber tree). The record is from RNAcentral. Lineage: Eukaryota; Viridiplantae; Streptophyta; Magnoliopsida; Malpighiales; Euphorbiaceae.